RNAcentral lists this ribosomal RNA (460 nucleotides) under uncultured bacterium. Its description in RNAcentral is "partial 16S ribosomal RNA". It matches the Rfam family "Bacterial small subunit ribosomal RNA", at positions 338 to 795 of the family's 1533-position model. The record is from RNAcentral.
CCUACGGGUGGCAGCAGUGAGGAAUAUUGGUCAAUGGCCGGAAGGCUGAACCAGCCAUGCCGCGUGAAGGUCAGUGCCCUAUGGGCGUUAAACUUCUUUUGUGCGGGAGCAAUACUGGUCACGUGUGGCCAGACGAGAGUACCGUACGAAUAAGCAUCGGCUAACUCCGUGCCAGCAGGCGCGGUAAUACGGGGGAUGCAAGCGUUAUCCGGAUUUAUUGGGUUUAAAGGGUGCGUAAGCUGUCAGGUAAGUCAGCGGUGAAAUUACCCCGCUCAAAGGGGUGAAGUGCCAUUGAUACUGGCGUGCUGGAAUGCGGAUGCGGUAGGAGGAAUGUGUGGUGUAGCGGUGAAAUGCAUAGAUAUCACACAGAACACCGAUUGCGAAGGCAGCUCACGGUUCCGCGAUUGACGCUGAUGCACGAAAGCGUGGGUAUCAAACAGGAUUAGAUACCCGAGUAGUC